UAGGCCUAUUGGGGAAACCACUUAAAAAAAAACGCGCCAUGCUAUCUACCGCCAGGUGGUGUGGAAAAGAUAGCACCAAAAUACUGAGUAAUAAUAUGGUCAAUAACAUUAAUUAAUAUUAUUAACCAUAUUAAUUAAUAAUAUUAAUAAAGUAAUAUAAUUAAUAAUAAUAUUAAUAAAGUAACAAAACUUGUACAUCGAAAAGAAUUGCGUGACAACUUUCUCGGCGCGUGAAUGAGACGCCGAGAAUUAUUGUGUACGCGUCGUCUCGCCUGCCGCUGUAAUCCGAUACUCGCUCCGACCAUCGCGUCGCGCGCGCGGCUAGCUGUUACGUUAUCCACGCCUACUUCUCUCGCUGCCAAUCGCGUCCGCUGAAUUAGCGAAACUUCUUUACUUAAUAACUCGAAAUAUACACGGUUAAUUGCAAAAUGUUAUAAGACUUUUUUGUUCACCUUAACGAGAUCUACCUGCAGCAGAGCGAUUGGGCACUUUAUGUGGGACACCCUGUGUAAUGUUUCAACGGUGAGUGUGUACUGUUAUUGCUUCAUGCUUUAUUUUAUACAAAUUACAAAAUGGAGAACAAAAAUUUAGAAUAUUUGAAGAUCAUGUUCUUUGUUUGCAUUCUAUUUUUAACUCUUUUGAAGACCUUUUUUAAAUUUUUUAAACCUGUAAACAUAAAGAAUAUACGUAUACCUUAAAGUUUAUAGCAAAUACUAAUGCACCAAAGAAGAUAAAAUAUUUGACAAAAUUAUUCUCACUACAAUUGCAACUAUUUUCAUUAAAACUGAUGUUAAAUUUUUUUUUAAUAUCAUUAAUGUCAUUACAAAAUAAUUUUUGCUUUUAGAUUUUGAAACGUUGGAUAUUUUUUAUGUCACAAUCCGCAUUACAAGAUGAACUGUGGAAAUAGAAAGUAUGCGGUUGUAAAAUUUUUGUGCGAUUCUUCAUACUCUGAAAUUCCAACAGCAUGGCUCUUUCAAGAAAAAAAAUGUGCAACUAUGUUGGUGGCCACCUCGAACUGCAAACAGUGGAAUAUUAAUAGCAAACUGUCAAAUUCCUGAUUCCUCUACAUGGAGUAAUUAUGAAGUCGAAAUCGUAAAAUAUUGUUCAUCUGUUGAGUCAGCUCGAAAGACUGCAGCAGACUCUAAUUAUGAAACAACUGAUGAAGAACGACUGGGUCGAGGAAGAAGGCAACAUGUUUCAUACAAUCGUUUCAGAAGCGA
Ooceraea biroi (clonal raider ant) is the source of this 1220-nucleotide long non-coding RNA. RefSeq lists it as uncharacterized. NCBI's taxonomy places the organism in Eukaryota, Metazoa, Arthropoda, Insecta, Hymenoptera, Formicidae. The record is from RefSeq and is a predicted model, not a curated record.